This 314-nucleotide ribosomal RNA is filed under the name uncultured Syntrophus sp. RNAcentral's name for it is "bacterial SSU rRNA". It matches the Rfam family "Bacterial small subunit ribosomal RNA", at positions 1066 to 1382 of the family's 1533-position model. Lineage: Bacteria; Pseudomonadati; Thermodesulfobacteriota; Syntrophia; Syntrophales; Syntrophaceae. The record is from RNAcentral.
CGUGAGAUGUUGGUUAAGUCCCGCAACGAGCGCAACCCUUGUCUUUAAUUGCCAUCAUUCAGUUGGGCACUUUAAAGAGACUGCCGGUGUUAAACCGGAGGAAGGUGGGGAUGACGUCAAGUCCUCAUGGCCUUUAUGCCCAGGGCUACACACGUGCUACAAUGGGUGGUACAAAGAGAUGCAAUCUCGCAAGAGCAAGCAAACCUCAAAAAGCCAUCCUCAGUUCGGAUUGGAGUCUGCAACUCGACUCCAUGAAGUCGGAAUCGCUAGUAAUCGCGGAUCAGCACGCCGCGGUGAAUACGUUCCCGGGCCUU